This 245-nucleotide ribosomal RNA is filed under the name uncultured bacterium. Its description in RNAcentral is "partial 16S ribosomal RNA". It matches the Rfam family "Bacterial small subunit ribosomal RNA", at positions 524 to 768 of the family's 1533-position model. The record is from RNAcentral.
GACGGAGGGAGCAAGCGUUGUCCGGAUUUACUGGGCGUAAAGCGCGCGUAGGCGGCCCGUUAAGUCGGCGGUGAAAGCGCUGGGCCCAACUCAGCAAGUGCCGUCGAUACUGGCGGGCUCGAGUCCGGGAGAGGGAAGCGGAAUUGCUGGUGUAGCGGUGGAAUGCGUAGAUAUCAGCAAGAACACCGGUGGCGAAGGCGGCUUCCUGGACCGGUACUGACGCUGAGGCGCGAAAGCUAGGGGAG